UUGGUUUAUCUUUUUACAGCAGUUUUGUGUUUUGUACCUCAUUCCCAAAUAAAAGGAAAUGUUCAGUCCCUACUGAAGUUAACUCCCUGGAACUGGAAGCACCUGAACACCUCAGUCAAAGUGGACUCCCCAGUCUCCGUGGACAUUUCUGUCUUGUCCCACUACAGACUUACGGGGAAACACUUCAAUAAGUAUCAACACAUACAAAAAACAAGGGAUUGUUCAGCUAUUCUAAAAUCUAUUCCACAUACAAAAGGAAGAAAUGGCGUCUAUGUUAUUUACCC
Long non-coding RNA from Saccostrea cuccullata (small rock oyster), 284 nucleotides. RefSeq lists it as uncharacterized. The transcript is spliced from 3 exons. NCBI's taxonomy places the organism in Eukaryota, Metazoa, Mollusca, Bivalvia, Ostreida, Ostreidae. The record is from RefSeq and is a predicted model, not a curated record.